ACAAUGCUCUAAAUUAGCAUCAUAAUCAUAACCAUCAAGUUAAGCUUAAUUUUUGCUUGCUAUUUCAUUUUUCAUUUGUAGACUCAAAUCAUCUUAUCUACCUUCUAUUAAAGAACCAGAAAAGAAAAGGAAAGAUCUAUUUUCAGUAGUCCCAGAUCAACCAAAUCAUGAAAAAGAAUUAAACAAGAUAAGGAAUCAGCUCUGUCAGGAGGAAGAGCAACGCAACUCUGAACAGGAGCAGAUGAGGAGUGAGAUCUCUGACCUAACACAGGCACUUCAUCAGAAGGAGAUCACCAUAGCAACCAUCAUGAAGAAAGCUGCCCUCCUGGAAAGACAGUUAAAGAUGGAAUUAGAAAUAAAAGAAUAAAUGUUAGCAAAGCAACAGGUCUCAGAUAUGAGAUAUAAAGCUGUCAGAACAGAAAACACGCAUCUAAAAGGAAUGAUGGGAGAUUUAGACCCUGGACGGUACAUGGUUAUCACAGCCUCCACUGAGCCUACUUCACUGAUUCCUACAGACUUUGACUUUGCUCAUUUAUUAUUUAAAGCGACAUUUUUGUUUAAGAUAGCUAUUCAAGGGAGUUCAUUAUGAAAUUUACAUGUAUAUGUGUAUUAUAAUCAAACUGGUUCAUCCCCUCCAUUUUUCUUUUCACCUUAGUCCCCUUAUAGUUAUUUCAAAAGGAUUAAAAAUCCAUUUUCAUUCUUGUAUAGAAAGUACAUCAACCAUUUCACCUUCUUUACCUCCUUCUUUUAUUCUCCCUCUCCCAUUACCGACCUCCCAUUAGCAUGACCUGUUUUUCAUUCUUGUCCUUCAUUGUUCAGUGGGACUUUUGCCUUGGUAUUUUAUACCACACCUGGCUUGUUCUUUUCUUCUUUUCACCCUCCCUUAUUCUCUUCUAACAGUCCCACUUUUGG
Molecule: long non-coding RNA, 912 nt
Filed under: Castor canadensis (American beaver)
Lineage: Eukaryota; Metazoa; Chordata; Mammalia; Rodentia; Castoridae
Description: lncRNA (ENSCCNG00000017694.1)
Source: RNAcentral